CCUACGGGUGGCAGCAGUGAGGAAUAUUGGUCAAUGGGCGCGAGCCUGAACCAGCCAAGUAGCGUGAAGGAUGACUGCCCUACGGGUUGUAAACUUCUUUUAUAAAGGAAUAAAGUGAGGCACGUGUGCCUUUUUGUAUGUACUUUAUGAAUAAGGAUCGGCUAACUCCGUGCCAGCAGCCGCGGUAAUACGGAGGAUCCGAGCGUUAUCCGGAUUUAUUGGGUUUAGAGGGUGCGUAGGCUGUGAGGUAAGUCAGCGGUGAAAUGCCCCCGCUCAACGGGGUGAAGUGCCAUUGAUACUGCCUUGCUGGAAUGCGGAUGCCGUGGGAGGAAUGUGUGGUGUAGCGGUGAAAUGCAUAGAUAUCGCGCAGAACCCCGAUUGCGAAGGCAGCGUGCCGUGCCGCCACUGACGCUGAGGCACGAAAGCGCGGGGAUCGAACAGGAUUAGAUACCCGUGUAGUC
This 461-nucleotide ribosomal RNA is filed under the name uncultured bacterium. Its description in RNAcentral is "partial 16S ribosomal RNA". It matches the Rfam family "Bacterial small subunit ribosomal RNA", at positions 338 to 795 of the family's 1533-position model. The record is from RNAcentral.